AACGGAACGGAAAAAUAUCCCGUUGGUUUCUUUCUCACUAAGAAAGAAAAUAAAAUUGAAUAGAUAAAAUAAUAAAAAUAAUAAAUAAUAAAUAACAAUAAAAAUUAAAUAAAUAAAUUCAAAAUUCAAAUAGAAUAGAUUCAAAUUUAAAAUUUUGAGUUUUUCUCCAACAAUCCCCCACAAAACUCAAAAUUUUUCAAAAUACGAAUUAAAGUCAGAAAAGAAAAUACUGAGUGUUUAUACUAUGCAGUAGGUGAGAUGUCUUUAAGAGACUUAACCUUACUUAGUGUAAGCAGUUUCCAUCAGAAGUAAUCGGAGUAAACCAAAUCUUGAACUACGUUUCUUUGACCCUGACUUCAACCACCAUACAUACAGUACAGAAUUCUCCGUCGCGGAUCUGUGCGUUAAUGGCCAUGCAAAAUAUCUUGAUUUUUCAUAAGCGUUUCUAUGGAUAGCCCAUAUCUCGUAGCCGCAGCCACAUACGGAUACUCUUAUAUACGUGGUUUCCUCCAGAGAUGUGUGUAGAGUCAUAUCUCGCGAAAAUUACUGCCUUUGAUCCCAUUAAGAGCUAUCAGCUCAACCUAAUCUACUAUACAGAGCACUACUUACCGUAGGGAUAGGAUUGGAGCUAAUCUCCUCUAUAAAAUAUAUAGAAAGUACUUUUUGGCCAAUUUGCCAGCUUGUUUUUACCAUAUUGAACAUUCUUCAAAGGAUCUCCUACCACAAAGAUUGGGUUCCCACUGCAGAAAGGCCCUUUAUGAGCAAAGCCCCAUCCUCCUCGAUGAUAUCAGGAUCUUAGUCCUGUUCAGACCUUUGAUCAAGUAAUAUGCAAAAUUUUAUUCAAAUCUGAUAAAAUUUAAAAGAAUAACAUUAUGAGAAAUUAAUCAUCUGACAAUCUUUUAUCUCAACUUUAUAUGUAUGACAGUUAAUCUUAAAAUUUAUCAUUUUC
Molecule: long non-coding RNA, 949 nt
Filed under: Ananas comosus (pineapple)
Lineage: Eukaryota; Viridiplantae; Streptophyta; Magnoliopsida; Poales; Bromeliaceae
Description: long non-coding RNA (ACOM_LNC032605)
Source: RNAcentral